GGCUCAACCCAGAGACUGCUUCCGAAACUGCUGUGCUUGAGUGUGGGAGAGGCGCGUGGAAUUGCAGGUGUAGCGGUGAAAUGCGUAGAUAUCUGCAGGAACACCCGUGGCGAAAGCGGCGCGCUGGACCACUACUGACGCUGAGGAACGAAAGCUAGGGGAGCAAACAGGAUUAGAUACCCUGGUAGUCCUAGCCCUAAACGAUCAGGACUUGGGGUGCCGCACGUUCGUGCGUCGUCCCGGAGCUAACGCGUNAAGUCCUGCACCUGGGGAGUACGGUCGCAAGACUGAAACUCAAAGGAAUUGACGGGGGCCCGCACAAGCGGUGGAACAUGUGGUUCAAUUCGACGCUACGCGAGGAACCUUACC
RNAcentral lists this ribosomal RNA (369 nucleotides) under uncultured bacterium. Its description in RNAcentral is "bacterial SSU rRNA". It matches the Rfam family "Bacterial small subunit ribosomal RNA", at positions 606 to 975 of the family's 1533-position model. The record is from RNAcentral.